CGCGUUCAGAGGACAGACGUCCGUUGGAGGCCGGAGGGUUCCGCGGAAUGAUUAGAGCGUCGAACGCGCGUGUCCUUACUAAACUUUAGUUGUUCCGGUUCCACUGUGAAUACUGGCGGUUUACGUACUAGCACCUCCAUAGGGCCUGGGACAGCACAAACACGAUAAAUCAGUGAAGACAAAUAUGACUCAUAGUGUAUAAUUCAACAGAUUGUUUUACGAUAUUUAAAUAAAACUAAUAUUUGCUGAUGUUA
Molecule: long non-coding RNA, 254 nt
Organism: Danaus plexippus (monarch butterfly)
Lineage: Eukaryota; Metazoa; Arthropoda; Insecta; Lepidoptera; Nymphalidae
Exons: 2
Source: RefSeq, a predicted model, not a curated record